ACGCUCGACACCUACGGGAGGCAGCAGUGGGGAAUAUUGCACAAUGGGGGGAACCCUGAUGCAGCGACGCCGCGUGAGGGAAGAAGGUUUUCGGAUUGUAAACCUCUGUCUUGUGGGACGAUAAUGACGGUACCACAGGAGGAAGCCGUGGCUAACUACGUGCUAGCAGCCGCGGUAAUCUGAGCGGGCUGGCAAGGC
This 198-nucleotide ribosomal RNA is filed under the name uncultured bacterium. RNAcentral's name for it is "partial 16S ribosomal RNA". It matches the Rfam family "Bacterial small subunit ribosomal RNA", at positions 328 to 539 of the family's 1533-position model. The record is from RNAcentral.